CUCACAUGUUUAUGGAGCUUUUGGAAAAAAAAACUUUGAUACAGUGCGUUCUAUGAACUGAAUGAAGCAUUAAAUAUCGCUUGAUCACGUGAAUUUGAUCGUGGGAAGCCAAAAUCGUUAUCGUGAUUAAAAUUCGAUUAAUUGUGCAGCCCUAUCAUCAGCCUCACUUUUAGCCCGUGAUGCUUUUGAGACAUCAUUCUCAUUUGUCACUUUUGAUAAAUCAACAACAGGAG
Molecule: long non-coding RNA, 233 nt
Organism: Sander lucioperca (pikeperch)
Lineage: Eukaryota; Metazoa; Chordata; Actinopteri; Perciformes; Percidae
Exons: 3
Source: RefSeq, a predicted model, not a curated record